UUCCUUAAACAAGAACUAACAAGAACCCUAGAGAACAAUUAGAAAAAACGAAAGAGCAUCUUUCUUUUAGAGUUUUAAUGCCCAAAAGUAGUGCAUAAAAAAAUGGAGCAAAACCUCCCAAAAAUAAGCUCAAAAAUUCAUGAAAACACAAUCAUAGAGCAGCUCUAAAACCUCACGAUUCCAACACAUUAAAUCAUCACUAGAACACCUUGAAACGUUAGCAAAAACAGCCACAAAAAUUUGCCUUGAAACAGCUGGACAUUAAAAUAACCCAAAAUUCAGUGAAAACCGGUCUAAAGAAGCAGCAAAAAUGCACCAGUAAAAUGACCUUCCAAUCUCCAUGAAAACCGGCCAUUUUUGACCCGAAACAGUUCCAAAAUCAGCCUUAAAUCCAGUUGAAAACCUCCUAAAAUCAGCCAAAAAACGCCAACAAAAUUGAACCAAAAAUCAGCUGCUUUCCUUCACCGAAAAUGCCCAAAAAUCCAGAUAUAGAUCAUCUCCAAAUCCCACCCUAAAUUCAGUAAGAACAACCACAAACUAAGCUCCAUAACAGUCCAUAAACCACUAUUAAAGUAACUUGAGAGCACCACAAGGGUUUAUUUGUGAGUUUAGUUUCGGAAGCUUUUAUUUGAGGUUGUCAACGAGAUUUUCCGGCCAUCGAAGGGUAGCCCGUGGUUCCUGUUCGAGUUCCGUCCAUUGUCGGGUUUCAAGACAAAUAGCAGCUUCACUUUUGAGGUCCAAGUCUCUCAUUUUGUCAUAAUAUUUUAUUUCUUGAAAUGAAGAUAAUAUGAGUUCUUUGUGAAUUUGGUGUUACUGUUGAGUUUAUGGUGUGUUUAUUAAAUAACUUCUUUUGUUUAGAUGUUAAUGCUUG
RNAcentral lists this long non-coding RNA (871 nucleotides) under Nicotiana benthamiana. Its description in RNAcentral is "long non-coding RNA (NBEN_LNC040923)". The record is from RNAcentral. Lineage: Eukaryota; Viridiplantae; Streptophyta; Magnoliopsida; Solanales; Solanaceae.